AGUGAACGCUGGCGGCGUGCUUAACACAUGCAAGUCGAACGAGAACGGAUUAUAGCUUGCUAUAAUUGUCAGCUAAGUGGCGCACGGGUGAGUAAUGUAUAGGUAAUAUGCCUCUUACUAAGGGAUAACAAAUGGAAACGUUUGCUAAUACCUUAUACUCCUUAUUAACAUAAGUUAAUAAGGGAAAGAUUUAUUGGUAAGAGAUUAGCCUGUAUUGUAUCAGUUAGUUGGUGGGGUAAUGGCUUACCAAGACUAUGACACAUAACUGGUUUGAGGGGAUGAUCAGUCACACUGGAACUGAGACACGGUCCAGACUCCUACGGGAGGCAGCAGUGGGGAAUAUUGCACGAUGGACGAAAGUCUGAUGCAGCAACGCCGCGUGGAGGAUGACACAUUUCGGUGCGUAAACUCCUUUUAUAUGAGAAGAUAAUGACGGUAUUAUAUGAAUAAGCACCGGCUAACUCCGUGCCAGCCGCCGCCGUAA
Molecule: ribosomal RNA, 484 nt
Filed under: uncultured bacterium
Lineage: Bacteria
Description: partial 16S ribosomal RNA
Rfam family: Bacterial small subunit ribosomal RNA
Source: RNAcentral